GGCUGGUCCGAGUGCAGUGGUGUUUACAACUAAUUGAUCACAACCCGUUACAGAUUUCUUUGUUCCUUCUCCACUCCCACUGCUUCACUUGACUAGCCUUUA
Y RNA from Callithrix jacchus (white-tufted-ear marmoset), 102 nucleotides. It matches the Rfam family "Y RNA". Rfam says of the family: Y RNAs are components of the Ro ribonucleoprotein particle (Ro RNP), in association with Ro60 and La proteins. The Y RNAs and Ro60 and La proteins are well conserved, but the function of the Ro RNP is not known. The record is from Ensembl. Lineage: Eukaryota; Metazoa; Chordata; Mammalia; Primates; Cebidae.